GAGAAUGUCCCUGAGGCCUGAGCAGUGUGUCCUUUUGGGUAUGGGCAUUGGAAGCAUGUAGUGAAUUCUUAUAAUUUUAUGUUGCCUCGGCAUCCAUCUUGAGUAUAAGCUUAACUUUGUUAUACCAGAAGCAAGGCUUACUCACUUUUGCACAGUUUCCAGUUCUACACCUCCUUCUUGUUCCUCAGUGUGGUUGGUCCAGAUAGCUGCCUUAUCCAACUGCCUCCUUUGGACCACUUCAUCAUGGGACAGCUUGAUGCAAUCUACUUGACAAGACCCUGGAACCCCACACCCCUCAUGGAACCAGUGUCCACCUCCCAGUCACAGUGUGACCCCAGGGAACUCUUGCCUGCUUGCUUUAAACCCACCACUUAAAAGUCUCCACAGAAAACCUGUUUGAAUAGUACCUUUGACCCAAUAAGGGCAUUGGCCCAUGGGUGUCUCUCUCUCUCUCUCUCCCUCUCUCUCUCUCUCGCUCCCUGACCUCUGCGUGUGGACUCCAGGCAUGCCAUAUACCCCUCAGGACCUGAAGCAAGAGAAUGAAUUAAAGAAAACUCCAGAGAAUGAGCUGACAACCUACUCCCUGGUCACUGGCUCUCCAUGCCUACCUGUGGUCUCUUGGACACCCUUGCAGAUGACUUCCUGGGAACUCUUCUGGGAGUGAAUGUUAUCAGCAAAUUCCCAAAACAACACCCCUUAGACAAAAAGCCUCCUCACCUAUGCAUUGCCUAGACCACCCACUAAAGGUGAUGGCCACAAAGAGGUGGAUUUGUUGAGUUGGUGCCAUUCCUUCUACUGCCAGCUUCACCAAAACAAUGACACAGUCUUCCUUCUGCAUGGAGACUCUUCUCUUUCCUGUGUUGCAGUGGAUGCCUCCUGCAGAUAAGAAAUGCUUAACUGAGAAAUGCUCAUGUUGGGAUAUCAUCGAUGAGACUUUAAUUUGGGCAUGGUGACUGUUUCCCUUGCUGCCACUUGACUCAAUCCCAGGAGCCUCAGUAGAGGAUAUAAUAUUACACAAGAUGCUCAAAAUGGUGGAAUUGCUCAGUGCUCCCAUAAAUAUACAUUUAUAAUUUUCAUUUGCCACAUGGUAAACUGAAAAAUACAGACUAUAUUAAAAAGAAACUGCAUGAUUUUUUUUCAAAAAUUCAAAGCAUAUUUAAAUAAUAUAUAAAUUAAAUGCCCUCCUCUCUUCCAAUUCUGUCCCUAUACUUUUCCUCUAUUAAGUGAACUACAUGCAUUCUUUUAGUGGAUAGAUGCACACAAACACACAAGCCAUUAUGGGGAAGGAUCCACGUGUGUGGCCAUAUUGUAACACAUUUUUCUGCAAAUUACCUCUUUCAUUUAACAGCCCUUAUUCAAUGGCCUUUUUCUUUUUCAGUAGUACAUACACAUCUGUGUCAUUUGUUGAAUGACGACAUGAAUGUUUUGUAGAUAAAAUAUAAUUAAAUGUUUUAAGCAUUUCUCACUCAUAGAUAUUUAUGUUAGCACCAAAUUUCUGUGCAAUGAACCUCCCUAUAUAUCAGUAAUUUUGCAUUUGUCUAUAAUAUCAUAAUAAAUUACUUAUCAGUUGAAUUACUGGGAUUAAGUAUGUGCACACUUUAUAUUUAUAUUUUGAAAAUUAUUGCAAGAUUGCCUUCAAAAAUGUGGUUAACAACUUUAUCUUCAAAUGGCAAUGAAUGAGAUUGCCAGCUUUCCUACAACCUCACAGACAAUGGAUUUUAUAAAUAUUUAACAUUUUUGCCAAUGUGAUCACCCAAACUAUUGUCUUAAAUUGUAUUUCUUUUGUUUUUGAGUUUGGUCAUUUUUUCAUGUUUAUUAGCCAUCUGUAUUUUUUAAUUUCUUCUUUAUGUCCAAUUUUGUGGGUGGGAGGAGGAUUUAGUCUCUUCCUGAUUUCGAAGAGCUCAUUUACUAUUUCGGGAAAUAAGAUUUGGAUUGUCAACCAUUAUAGCUAUUUUUUACACACUUUUCAACUUUGUUUUUGUUAUAAGAAUGUGUAUGAUUGUUACAUGUCCAAGUAUAACCAUGUUCGC
Molecule: long non-coding RNA, 2030 nt
Filed under: Pan troglodytes (chimpanzee)
Lineage: Eukaryota; Metazoa; Chordata; Mammalia; Primates; Hominidae
Description: long non-coding RNA NONPTRT005262
Source: RNAcentral